RNAcentral lists this transfer RNA (71 nucleotides) under Megacopta horvathi. RNAcentral's name for it is "tRNA-Ser". It matches the Rfam family "tRNA". Rfam says of the family: Transfer RNA (tRNA) molecules are approximately 80 nucleotides in length. Their secondary structure includes four short double-helical elements and three loops (D, anti-codon, and T loops). Further hydrogen bonds mediate the characteristic L-shaped molecular structure. tRNAs have two regions of fundamental functional importance: the anti-codon, which is responsible for specific mRNA codon recognition, and the 3' end, to which the tRNAs corresponding amino acid is attached (by aminoacyl-tRNA synthetases). tRNAs cope with the degeneracy of the genetic code in two manners: having more than one tRNA (with a specific anti-codon) for a particular amino acid; and 'wobble' base-pairing, i.e. permitting non-standard base-pairing at the 3rd anti-codon position. The record is from RNAcentral. Lineage: Eukaryota; Metazoa; Arthropoda; Insecta; Hemiptera; Plataspidae.
AGUCAAUAAGUUCAUAGGCAACCUUAUACCUUGAAAGUAUAAUAUUGAAAGUUAAAAUCUUUCGUUGACUU